GACGAACGCUGGCGGCGUGCCUAAUACAUGCCAGUCGAACGAGAGCGACCGGUGCUUGCACUGGUCAAUCUAGUGGCGAACGGGUGAGUAACACGUGGGUGACCUGCCCAUCAGAGGGGGAUAACAUCCGGAAACGGAUGCUAAAACCGCAUAGGUCUUCGAACCGCAUGGUUUGAAGAGGAAAAGAGGCGCACGCUUCUGCUGAUGGAUGGACCCGCGGUGCAUUAGCUAGUUGGUGAGGUAACGGCUCACCAAGGCCGUGAUGCAUAGCCGACCUGAGAGGGUGAUCGGCCACAUUGGGACUGAGACACGGCCCAAACUCCUACGGGAGGCAGCAGUAGGGAAUCUUCCGCAAUGGACGCAAGUUUGACGGAGCAACGCCGCGUGAGUGAAGAAGGUUUUCGGAUCGUAAAACUCUGUUGUUAGAGAAGAACAAGUGCUAGAGUAACUGUUAGCGCCUUGACGGUAUCUAACCAGAAAGCCACGGCUAACUACGUG
Molecule: ribosomal RNA, 498 nt
Filed under: uncultured bacterium
Lineage: Bacteria
Description: partial 16S ribosomal RNA
Rfam family: Bacterial small subunit ribosomal RNA
Source: RNAcentral